GGAAGGGUUUAUAACUUCAGGUGGAUGCUGAACAGAUAAUUCUGCAGAGCAAGCUUUAUAAAAAGCCAAAGUAGAUGAUGUGGGGUAGAGGGUGAAAGGGGAUGAGUGAAGGCUCCUAGAAUGAAGCUCCAACUUUCCAACUUGAGAGUUCAGUGAUCAGAGGCAUAUUUCAAUGUCUUUUUAGGUGAGAUAUAUAACAUACCUUUCCUAACCCAUGAUAUUUUUAAGAUUAAAAACUGAAGGUGAGUAAAUCUUGAAACUGAAACACGAUGCAAAUCUUGAAGCAUGAAGCAAAUAUUAAUAAUUAUUCUCACUGGUCUUCAUGCUAGUAAUGAUGAUGCCAUUGAAUCUUGAAGGUCCUUAGUAUUGAAGAAUCUGCUAUCAACAAGUAUACAAGCAUAGAAGGGCACAGACGUUAAAUGUUCUUGGACAAGUAUUACUGAUGUUACCUGGAAGUGGUAGAAAUGAGACCCAGGGAGAAUGUUCCAUUUGAGGAAGAGGGGAUACUGAUGCCAUAUGGCUGUGAUCAUCUUCCUAUAUCUCAAAGACUUUGCCCUAAACAUUGUUGCAUUUCCUUAAAGAAAAGAUCAAGAGUUGAGAUUAAACUUGACUUAAAACGCCAGAUAUUUGCCAGAACCUCUAGGAAAUUGAUGAAAUAUUCCUGUCUGAAGGCUGCAACCAAACAUGAUCUCAUCCAUAUCAGCAGCAUUACUAAUAAAACACCAAGGUGCUUCCUGACCUCCAGGAGAGAUGUGUUAAAUUGGAUGGCAGAAAUAAGUCACUGGAACAAAAUGCUUGAGAAAGAACCUGCUCUGCUCCCUACUUUCUUAAAAAUACACUCACAUGUUCUCCCAUAUACCAAAACAAUUAUUCUAGAUUGGAGAUAUUUAAGGAUUCACACUUACGUAAAGGCACUCAGCUUUGCCAUGCCUACAAUGUGGAUAAUAACAUGUGCCUUAUGCAUGCUUCUGAGAAAUGCAAGGUAGAGAAGACUGCUUUUGAAGCUCUGUGGCUGAUCAACAACAUGUUUUAAAAGGCUUUUGAUGUAUACAUGGCUCAUUAAGUAAAGGUCAAAAUUGGACAAUGUCCUGUUAAUUUCCUUUUGCUAGAAAAAUCAAUAUCUGCAUCAACAUUCAUUAAAUUUGACAGAAGCUAAGAAAGUUAGAUGUGAAAUGUAAAUCAAUACUUAUUCCUGGUAGGAUUAACUUGCUGUACAGAGAAUAUAAAGCAUCAAUUCUUUAUACACAUUGUUCCACCCAAUAUUCCACUCUGGCUUUAGGGAGGCCACAUUUUGCCUUUGUGGCCUUCAACCAUAAUCUGGUUUUGGGUUUCUGUUAGCUGGAG
This 1344-nucleotide long non-coding RNA is filed under the name Papio anubis (olive baboon). RNAcentral describes it as "lncRNA (ENSPANG00000045303.1)". Lineage: Eukaryota; Metazoa; Chordata; Mammalia; Primates; Cercopithecidae. The record is from RNAcentral.